AUGGCAGCAGGCACGAAGGGCGACGGGCCGGCGAUCGGCAUCGACCUCGGGACGACCUACUCCUGCGUGGCCGUCUGGCGGCCGGUGCACCAGCGCGUGGAGGUCAUCGCCAACGACCAGGGCAACCUCACCACGCCUUCCUGCGUCGCCUUCACCGACACCUGGCGUCUCAUCGGCGACGCGGCCAUGAACCCCGUCAACACCGUCUUCGACGCGAAACGACUGAUUGGUCGACGAUUCAGCGAAGAGUCUGUGCAAGAAGAUAUGAAGUUGUGGCCCUUCAAAGUCAUUUCAGGCACCAGUGAUCGGCCGAUGAUUGCUGUGAAGUACAGGGGUGAGGAGAGGCAGUUCACAGCCGAAGAAAUCUCCUCCAUGGUGCUUGUCAAGAUGAGGGAGACAGCGGAGGCCUACCUCGGCACCACGGUGAAAGAUGCUGUCAUCACCGUCCCAGUCUACUUCAACGACUCGCAGCGCCAGGCCACCCUGGAUGCCGGUCUCAUUGCUGGCCUCAACGUCACACGCAUCAUCAACGAGCCCUCGGCCGCCGCCAUCGCCUACGGUCUUGACAACACGUCCGUUAGUGGUGAUGCCAUUGCGAAGACGGUGCUCAUAUUUGAUUUUGGUGGCGGUACCUUGGACAUCUCUGUCAUAAACAUUGACAAAGGCACAUUUGCAGUCAAGGCCACGUCCGGUGACACCCACCUUGGAGGGGAGGACCUCAACAACCGAAUGGUGGAACACUUCGUGCAGGAAUUCUUGAAGAAACACAAGAGUGACAUCGGUGGCAAUCCGAGGGCGCUGAUCCGGCUUAGGACGGCCUGCGAGAGGGCCAAGAGGAUGCUGUCUUCCACGGCGCAGGCCAAGUUCGAGAUCGACUCGCUCCACGAUGGCAUUGACUACUAUGGAUCCAUCACUCGCGCCCUGUUCGAUGAACUCAACAUGGAUAUCUUCCGCAAGUGCAUUGAGCAUGUGGAGAAGUGCCUCGGCGACGUCAAGAUGAACAAGUCACAGAUCGACGACGUUGUGCUCGUCGGCGGCUCCACCAAGAUCCCCAAGGUGCAGCAGAUGCUGCAGGAUUUCUUUGACGGGAAGAAGCUCUGCAAGAGAAUCAAUCCGGACGAGGCUGUCGCGUACGGCGCUGCUGUUCAGGCAGCCAUCCUCAACGGCGAGUACAACCAGCAGGAGAAGGACUUUCUCCCUCUGGACGUCACGCCGCUAUCACUCGGGAUAGAGGCGGAAAUAGAUCGUUUCAUGAGUGUGGUGAUACCCAGGAACACCACAAUACCUGUCAAGAAGGAGGGAGUUUAUACGACAAUUCACGACAACCAGACGAGCAUUCUCAUCCAGGUGUACGAGGGUGAAGCGGCAUUCACCAAGGACAACAGGCUUUUGGGCAAGUUCACGCUCAAUGGCAUCCAUCUAGCGCCGAGUCGCGUCCCACGGAUCAAUGUGACAUUCGAAAGCGAAGCAAAUGGUAUUCUGAAGGUGCUGGCAGAGGACAGGACAACUGGAAACAAGAACAGCGUCACCAUCACCAGCGACCAGGGUGGGCUGAGCGCGGAGGAGAUCGAGCGCAUGGUGCGUGACGCCAACACAUACAAAUCCGAGGACAACAAGCGGAUGAUGAAGUGA
RNAcentral lists this ribosomal RNA (1632 nucleotides) under Triticum aestivum (bread wheat). Its description in RNAcentral is "partial small subunit ribosomal RNA". Lineage: Eukaryota; Viridiplantae; Streptophyta; Magnoliopsida; Poales; Poaceae. The record is from RNAcentral.